GUAGGGAAUAUUGGUCAAUGGACGAAAGUCUGAACCAGCCAUUCCGCGUGCAGGAAGAAGAUUCUAUGGAUUGUAAACUGCUUUUAGCAGAGAAGAAACGCCUUCAUUGAUGAGGGUUUGACGGUAUCUGCGGAAUAAGCACCGGCUAACUCCGUGCCAGCAGCCGCGGUAAUACGGGGGGUGCAAGCGUUAUCCGGAAUCACUGGGUUUAAAGGGUGCGUAGGCGGGAAAUUAAGUCAGUGGUGAAAGUCUGUUGCUUAACGAUAGAAUUGCCGUAGAUACUGAUUUUCUUGAAUUGGGUUGAGGUUAGCGGAAUGUGACAUGUAGCGGUGAAAUGCAUAGAUAUGUCAUGGAACACCAAUUGCGAAGGCAGCUAGCUGGGCCUUGAUUGACGCUGAGGCACGAAAGCGUGGGUAGCGAACAGGAUUAGAUACCCUGGUAGUCC
This 445-nucleotide ribosomal RNA is filed under the name uncultured bacterium. RNAcentral describes it as "partial 16S ribosomal RNA". It matches the Rfam family "Bacterial small subunit ribosomal RNA", at positions 354 to 796 of the family's 1533-position model. The record is from RNAcentral.